ACAGGCGAGGGCGUUCGGCGACGUUACUGGGGCUGCACGGUGCUUGUAGCUGGGCAGUCUUAUCAUCAGAGUGGAGCCUGGUAACCACGACCUCCCCGCCAGGUCCUGUGUGUUGCUAGCUGGAGAAGGGUAGUUGAAAACUCAGACCAAGCACAGUGUUUAUAUCGGUCAAAACUGGAAAACUAUGUCCGGGCGCAGCCGAGGCUGGAGGAUCCCUUCAGGCCAAGAGCAACCUAGCAAUAUGGCGCGACCGGAUCUCUGUAGUCCUACCUCAACCCCCAGCUACUUGAACCCCAAGGUUGAAGGCUCCAGUGAGCUAUGAUCCCACCACAGCAUUGCAGCCUGCCAGACUGAGACAUGAACUUAUGAAUUCAACACAUGAAGACUUACAACUUGAUAAACCAGCUUCAGGAGGCUGGAGUGCAAUGGUGCGAUCUGGGCUCACUGCAACCUCUACCUCCUGGGUUCAAGCGAUUCUCCUGUGUCAGCCUCCUGAAUAGCUGGGAUCACAGGUUCCUGAAAGGGAGAGAGGAAAUCUUCGAUUUUUCAUGGCUGUGAACCACUGCAAGUAUUGAAGAAAUAUUUACUACUUCCAGCCUCAUAAUCCUGCAGUCAUUUGGCACCUCUGAAGCCUUGGGGAGCACUGAAGCCAAGGCUGCACCGUACCAAAAAUUUGAAACAUGUGAAUGAGCUGAAUGUGGAAGGACUACCGGAAAACACUCCUUUCAGAAUCCCCUCAUUGCAUGAAAUCCCAAGGCUCGAAAACAUCUUUCAAGUGAGCAAUUGAAUUAAGUUUGUUAUUAAGAGUAACUCCAGUUAGCCUCCAUUGUCUCCAAGCCGGCUUUUGUCCUCAUCCACAACGCCUCCACACAAGCUCUGAACACCUGUCCAUGUAAAAAUAUCAAGAAAUGCUGAGGCCCAUGUCCCAGAACAACAGUCCUUUAGGUGGAUCACACAUUCUCCACUACACCAAGCUCUACUCACAGGUUGGAGACACGCUUUUUGCAGA
RNAcentral lists this long non-coding RNA (1009 nucleotides) under Homo sapiens (human). Its description in RNAcentral is "HSALNT0362759". Lineage: Eukaryota; Metazoa; Chordata; Mammalia; Primates; Hominidae. The record is from RNAcentral.